RNAcentral lists this long non-coding RNA (20421 nucleotides) under Brassica rapa (field mustard). Its description in RNAcentral is "long non-coding RNA (BRAP_LNC003051)". The record is from RNAcentral. Lineage: Eukaryota; Viridiplantae; Streptophyta; Magnoliopsida; Brassicales; Brassicaceae.
ACAUGGUGCUCCUUACCAUCAUCACAUACAGACAACACCUUGAACUCUUUCGCAACGGGGUCAUAUCCAAGAUAGCUUUCCACUCUAUACUUGUCUUUCGAGUUCAAUCUUGGUAAUGUCAAGGACUGUCCUGUGCUGGGGUUACAUAUCACCGUGACAAUCCCUGCUUUGUUCUUGCCCUGGUUAGCUCCAUAACAGAAGAAGCCAUUGGUACAACCAAAUAAGCCAUAGGAGGUUGGGAAACACGCGAGGUGAUUGGCGGCUACAACAUGCGAGUUGUCUUCCGGAUUUUCAGGCUGGGGCGACGAGAGGAAGUGAAUCUCGUGGCGGUAAUCAGAGCAUGCGAAAAGAAGCUGAGGGCGAGCGCAAGAUUUGGUCAAGAAGGAGUCUGUGAAAUCUUGACUGCGAAGCACGGAGGACCAGAGCUUGCAUACGCAACGACAUGUCGCUAUAGAAUUCAACGGCAGCCUCAAGAAUAUCUCUGUAAUAACCUCAACAGGAAGCGUCAGUGAGUUUCUAUCAAGUCUGGUCGUCGAUCGCGUAACGCGCUGAGAAAUGCUUAGACCACCCUUCUGCCGCUUCAUAGCGAGAUAACUUUUAGAACUUCUCUUAAUACCCUGAAACAAAAUACAGUUAGCCACAGAUUCUACCAGAUAAACGAUCAAUGUCGAUUUUACAAAUUGCAGAAGAACGAACAUGAGGCACAUUAAUGUUUUCAACAUUUCUUACCUCGAAUUCACUGUCACUAGGUAAGAACAAUCGUAAAUCGCAGUUGGGGUUUAGAACUAUCAUCCCCAAAUCAUUUGUCGGGAAUGAUAAAAGAGUGAAGUAAUUUUAUAUGGGCCUUUUGUGGGCUUACACAAUAUUUAAAAUGAUGGGUUUACGAUGGGUCUGACCUGAAUUUUAUUAAAAACUACAAUGCUCUCGACAAACUAGUAACAUUUGCUCGGCAAAUAGACCGAAUCCAAAAACCCCAACCAAAUCCGAUCCGGUAAAAAUGAAUCUGAAUCUAAUAUAAAUACCGAAUGGAUCUUGUUUUAUAGUAUUUCAUGUUAUGCAUAUUAUCUGAACCGAACCGAACUUAAAUGGAUAUCCGAUUUGAACCCAAAAAUUUUAAAAUCAAGAACUUGUACCAAACAUGAUCUCAACUCCUAAUAUGUAUCUAAAAUGCAAUAAGAUAUGCUCGAUGGUAAGUAUAGACAAAGUUCUUUCAUAACUAUGUUCACGUAUAUCACAUAUAAAUAUUUUCUAAUUUUUUUUUGUGCGUUUCAGGAGAAGAAAAGAUUUAUAUCAGCGCAGACAGUAUUGAUCCUUCUGAUACAAAUUCAGUUAACGAUGAAGCUCUUGGUCCUGAUUUUCUAAACACCAUAAAAGUUUCAGGUUUACCAAAUCAUAGUCUCAGACUGAAGGUUGGUUGUCCCGUAAUGGUUUUAAGGAAUAUUAAUCCUACAGCAGGGUUAAUGAAUGGAACCAGGCUUCAGAUCACUCAAGUGAUGGAUUUGAUGGUUCAAGCCAGAAUCAUAACUGGGGAAAAGGUUGGACAGAUAGUAGAUAUUCCGAGACUAUCAAUAACACCAUCAGACACCCGAUUGCCUUUUAAAAUGCGCAGAAGGCAACUACCUUUGGCAGUGGCUUUUGCUAUUACAAUAAACAAAAGCCAAGGACAAUCUCUAUCGGAGGUGGGUCUGUUUUUACCAAAGCCUGUGUUUUCCCAUGGACAGCUAUAUGUGGCAAUAUCUAGAGUGACCUCAAAGAAAAGAUUGAAAAUUUUGGCUCUUGGUAAAGAUGGAAAGCCUCAGAGGAAAACCAUGAAUGUAGUUUUCAAAGAAAUUUUCAACAACCUUGGAUGAUGUUUUUUGAUAAGGUAUGUCGUUUGAAAAUAUUAUCUUAAUGACCUAGGAAAAUUGUUUCACAGUUAAUGUAUUAAAGUAAUUUAUAAGACCAGACUAAGUUUUUUUUUUUUGUAUUGCAGAUUUCAGUUCGUGAAGAAAGAGGAGUUUACUUUCAGAAUUCUUGAACACUGUUGUUAUUAAUAAGACCGAUGUUAUUUUAUUGUUAUGGAUUACUUAUCAACAAUCAAAAUUAUGCAUUGAUAUAAAUUAAAAUAUUUCAGAAAUACUACAUCAAACACAACCAUUCAAGUCAAUCAAGAAAUGAAACAAACAAGCGUAAGGCAAAUAAGAAGUACAUGCCAUCAGCAAUCACGCGUACAUCUACCACAAUCCUAAACGAUUCUAUUUCUUGAUUAAUGUAUGAAUUCUUCAUAUUUUUAAAUUAUACUAACCUUGGUUUGUUCGCAAGGUUUGGAAUUCUAUUUGAUAUUUGUGAUCCAACGGUUACUGAUCUUUCUUCUCCAACAUGACCAAUUCUUAUCAAUGACACCUUCAUCACCUGAAAGCAUACAAAAACAUAGAAAAAAUAGAUUGAUCAUUGAAUCUUUUGUAGUCAAACAUGACAGUUUUUUCACAAAUAAUUACUAAACGAAAGUGAAGAUACACUACCUGAUAUGCAAGACAAGUUGUUUAUGCUUUUCAUUCGUUUGUUUCAGUCUUUGUUUUCCUUCACUAUAUGUCUCAUAUCAACCGUGUAAAGGAUAAGACAUGCUUUUAGUAAACACAUAAUAAUUUCAAAAGAACAAGGAAAAAGUUUUAAAAGAUGUAAACCUGAACUAUCACCCGCUGCUUAUGCUCUUAGUAAAAUUAUGAAUAGAGAAUAAUGCUUCGUUAGGAUCAUCUCUGGAACACAAGUAAAAAAAAACAAAAACAUUAUCAACUAUAAAUAAUCAAAGUUGCCUUUUUCUUUUGUGAGUUAUAGAAGUGACAGAACAACCAAUGAAUAUUCAAAAUAGAAACUAGAAAAAAAAAACCUAACAAACAGAAAUCGUUUAAGAGAAAUAGAAACCUAACUUUGCUUCUGUCAUAAUUCGAUAGAAAGCGUUUAAUCAAAUCAUCUACUUUUUCUUUUUUACAGUACCUUGCAAUGAUUCCAAUAUCUGGUCAUCAUGUAAUUGAGUUUCGAUGUACCCAAAGAUUCCAAAUUAACACUGACUUUAACUAUUACAUGCUAAUCUUCAAAGAUUUUAACGGAGAUGGCCAAUCUACUAUUAGAGAUGCCAGAUCUAAAAAAGAUUUGAACAAUUUUUAUGAUUAAAAACACCUAAUCGUUCAUAAUGUCAAUUAAAUUAAAAGAAUAUAAACAGUCUAACCUUUUUUUGAAUAAAUCGAUGAACAAUCUGAUGAUUAUGGAUUAGGAUUCCUCCGAUUUUGUAUUUUAUCAGUUUUUUGAGUCAUAAUCGAGACGGAGAUCAGAUCAAAGAGAGAGACAGUGAAGGGGCGACGGAGAAGAUUAGGAGAAAGCAAAAAAGUAGUUGAGUUUUUAGCAUGUACGUUUUUUUCCCGGAGUAAUUAGUUGGAUUAGUUGGGCCAGCCCAAUUCUUUAAAUAAUUGAUAGACUAAUUUUUUAUAUACUCUAGCCCAAUUUUAUGACCCAAUUCACUUUAUUAUUUGUUGUAAGCCAUUUUUUAAAAAUAAUUGAUAUAUUAAUUAUUGAAAUAAAAUAAAGUAGAUUUAUGAUUGUUGUUUCUUUGUGGUGAAAAUAAAAACAGAAACUAUAAUAUAUAAUAUAUAAUAUAGAUUCUAAGCAACUACAAUACAAUUUUCAAGAAAAUAAAAUAUCAUAAAACUAAUAAUAAUUCAUGAUCAACUACAACAAAAAAAAUUAAAUGUUUUUUAAAUAAAUAAACAAAAAAAACCCAGUAAGUUAAUAUAUGAAUCUUACACUUAUAUCAAACUGCAUCAAGUUAUAGAAUUAUAGAUAUAAUAUUAUGUAGAGAUUGAAAAAGCUCUUAAUAUAACAUUUUUACAUUAUAAAUCAUAUAUAUUACUCUAAAUGGAAUUUACAAAACAUAAAAAUAUAAAUGGACAUUUUAUAAAAUAAAUGGUUUAUAAAUUACAUUAAACAAAAUUUAAAUCCAGCACCCGCGCGGGGGCGCGGGUCAAAAUCUAGUAUCUAUUACAUGAACAUUGAUGGUUGAAGGUGGCGGUUGAAACUUAGGUUUUAGAUUUUAGUUUUGUUUUCGAUGAAUGAUGUUUCUCGUGUCAUAUGUCAUGAAAACUUGGUUUUAGUUUUAUGCUUUCAUUUUUAGUUUUCUUUCUAUCAAUAAAUAUGUUUACUUUUCAUUUGAUUCUGAAUGAUCAUGUUUGAUAUUUCUUUCUUAUUUUUGAAUCGAUUUUACUUAUAUUUUAGUUACAAAAUAUGUAUAAAUCAGGUAUUUUAAAACCAGAAAAUCGAUUUUAUUUAUGUUUCGGUUACGAAAUAAAUAUAAACCAAGUAUUUUAAAACCAAAGAACCGAUUGGAAUUCGAACCUAAAAAUACAUCGGACUGUACCUGUUCUUUGAAGAUUUACUAACCCCAACCCAAAUCCACUAAUAUAACCCGAAUGGAGCUAAUUUUGAUGGAUCCCAAAUGUCCAUGCCUAAUUUUUCUCAUUUCAUGGAUCUAGAAAAUCAUACUCUCUAUCACAGCACUGAAAGAUGACAUUCAAAAGCUUCUCAGUUUUGGAUUAAUAUUUAACUAUUUACAGCAUUUGUAACAAGAAGAUUGUCUCUCAUCCCCUGGUUGAAUCUUCUACAAGAGGUUGAUUUUCAAACUAAGACGCUAGAAAAAAAAAAUGAAAACUACGCUUGAAAUGCUUAAAGAAACUUCACAUUCUCAACAUAGUUGAGGUAGGUGUUUAGCCUCUUACCCUGAAACGCCUCCAUUCCUUGGAUUCCAACUUCUCUGAUCGUCUUGCUCUUGACAUUGUAGUAGAUGACACAGGAAGACACUCUUUGGAAACAGGGGGUCAAAACAAUUUCAUCUACACCAACCAUUCCAGCAAUAUCCAAUCUAUCCUCAACUACACCCUUCCAAACUGGUGGUAAUACGUAAACAUGCCUGGACCACUCAUGUUUUGCAACGUCUCGAAGAACCCACAGCUCAAAUCUUUUACAUGAUCGAGUAACAUAAUAAUCUUCCGACGACAUAAGAAAACCUAAUCUGCCAUUGUAGUUUGUCAGAGUUGUUGAAUGAGAUCUAUUGAAACGCCUCAAGAGGUUCACAAAGCUGAACUUCUCAGUCCUCAAAUCAAAACAAACUACCAUAGAUUCCACCGAAUAUCUGAUUUCUUUAGCUAUAUAGUACAAAACGCCACUGAUGCAUAUCCACUUACCAGAAGAAUAAUGUCGUAUGCAACAUUCGACCAACCUCCACGACAGUUUCUUGGUUCCUAAUGUCAGAACAUGAAACUCCUUACCAUCAUCACAUACAGACAACACCUUGAACUGUUUUGCAAUGGGGUCAUAUCCAAGAUAGCUUUCCGCUUCAACCCUGAUCCUCGUUUUCAAUCUUGGUAAGGUCAAGGACUGUCCUGUGCUGGGGUUACAUAUCACCGUGACAAUCCAUCGAUUAUUCCACCCCUUUAAGAUCCGUUCAGCUCCAUAACAGAAGAAGCCAUUGGUACAACCAAACAGUUUAUAGUAACGUGGGGAACGUGCAAUAUGAUUGGUGGCUACGACAUACGAGUUGUCUUCAAGAUUUUCAGGCUGAGGCGACGAGAAGAAGUGUAUCUCGCUGCGACCUUCGCAUGCAAAGAGAAGCUGAGGACGACGAGCACAAGAUUUGGUCAAGAACAGCUCUGUGAAAUCUUGACUGCGGAUCACGGAGGACCAGAGCUUGCAUACGCAAUGGCAUCUCGCUAUGGACUUCGACGGCAACCUCGAGAGUAUCUCUGUAACGACCUCAACAGGAAGCGUCAAGGAGUUACGAUCAAGCGUGGUCGUUGAUCGCGUAACGCGGCGAGAAAUGCUUAGACCACCCUUCAUGAAGGAGUAUGUUCCCUUACGGACGCUCUUUGAGAAAAGACAUUAAAAUUACAUUACUAACCUGAAACACAAACAUUCUAGAACCAACCAAAACUCCAAACAAAAGUUAGAUUGCAUCCAGAAACUAAAUACAGUUCUAGGACUUAGCCAGAGAUGAUGUCACAUUCACCAGAUGAACGAUCGAGAUGAAACAACAAUCUACCAAAACAACAAUAGUGCUGUUCGUUUCAUUGACGCGGGUUCCUGCGGCUGCGGCUGAGUCUGCGGCUGCGGCUGCGACCAUUUGUUUGGUUGUUGUUCGUUUUGUAGCCGCAGACUCAGCCGCAGCCGCAGCCGCAGCCGCAGCUUGUUGUUCGUUUCGUAAACGCAGGACAUUGCCGCAGUCGCAGCCGCAGACGCAGAAAGUAGAUUUAGUUCUGUUCGUUUGGUUGCCGCAGACGCAAUUUUCAUUUAUUUCAUAUUUUAAUUUUAUGAAUUUUUAAAAUUAUAUUUAAAUAAAUAAAAUAUUAUAAAAUUGUAAAAUAUUGUAAAAUUUCAUAUUUUAAUUUUUUGAAUUUUUAAAAUUAUAUUUAAAUAAAUAAAAUAUUAUAAAAUUGUAAAAUAUUGUAAAAUUUCAUAUUUUAAUUUUAUGAAUUUGUAAAAUUGUAGAUUUAACAACAUUUUUUUAUCAUAAACAAAAGCUAAAUAAUACAUCAAGUCUUAAAUAAAUAAAACAAAUAUUUCAAAUAUCACAUAGAACUGAUAAUCAAAGUUAUAAGCAGAAAAAAAAGAGUCAUUAACUAAAACAUUUAAUACGGUAAACGACCUCUACCAUAUUCAUCUGUGAUGCUCUUACGCAAAGCUUCCAUCGCUCUAUCACCGGUCGGCUCAUAUACAAUAUGUCCACCACCACCACCACCACCACCAUCAUCAUCAUCAUCAUCAUCAUCAUCAUCAUCAUCAUCAUCACCUUCUCCUUCUUCAUCACCAUCAACUCCUUCUGCUUCUCCUUCUCCAUCAUCAUCACUUUGCCAUUGUACAAAAUCAUGAUCUUCUCGAUGUGAAUCACGUAUGAAGUUGUGUAGCGCCAUCGUCGCUGUCACGAGCUUAAUCCACUUGACCAGACCAUACUUUGGAUGCUUACGAUCCAAAAUCCUCCAUUUUGCUUUCCAUACUCCAAAUGUCCUCUCAAUCACUGAUCGCAAUCCUGAAUGCUUUCGGUUGAACAACUCUCGUGCACUAACUGGUGGUCCUCCUCUAGCAAACUGACCAAGAUGAUAUCGCAUACUCCGAUGCGGACCAAGAUACCCAGUCCUGGUCGGAUAUCCCGAGUCAACUAGAUAAUAUUUUCCAGGAGGAGGAUGUGGGAAAGAAGCCUCAUUCCUCGCACAAUGAGUCAAGACCUUUGUAUCAUGUGCUCUACCAGGUACACCGAGAUAUGCGUAUAUGAACUUCAUGUCGAAGUUACAUAUAGCAAGAACAUUCAUUGUAGGAUCUUGCUUUCUACCUUUAUAUGCUUCUGCAUUUUGACUUGGAGGGCGAACCGGCACAUGAGUUCCAUCGAGUGCUCCAACACAAUCUCUGAAAUGAGGCCAAUACUGAUCAUCAUUCCUCAAAACAGGACUCACUCUUCCAAACUCGCCUUCUUGUGGUCUUAAUGUAUCCUGUGCAAACUUGAGAAGAGCACUCAAAACUUCAUCAAGCUUCCUUUGGACCGUAUCCACUGAUCUUUGAUACCUUGCAGCAAUAUCCCGCUUCGUCUUAUCUUGACCAACAGUCUCAAGAAACAUCGCCACAGAUUCUUCAAGGUAGACAUGGUGAGUCUCUUUCAAUCCAUAUCGCUCAGCUAGCAUCUUGCACAAAGCUUCAAAAGUCCUUUGAUUCAUUCGAAGAAUGUCAUAACAUUGCUGAUCAGAUUCAUACAUAAGUUGUUGAACAUGUCGCCAUCCUGCUCCUCGAUCUGUUUUAUGACUCAAUCUCUCGGUAAUAGGCACAUCAAACAAACCAAGUUCAUCAUCAUAAUCACCAUCCUCAUCUUCCAAAAUCCAUCUUUCAAGCAUCUACAAUACAAUAUUAAAUAAAUCAUCAUUAAAAUGGAUAGUAUUAUAAACAAACAAAACAGCCAUAAGCUCAAGUUCUAAUUAAUUAUUAUAGACCAAUCACACAGACCUAGACCUGUAAAACUACACACGGCAUAUAUAAUUAUUAUAGACCAAUCACACAAACACGGAGAAACGUAAUGAGUUUAUAAGACCAAGCACACAUAAUGAGUUUAUAAGACCAAACACACAUUAGACCAAACGUAAUGAGUUUAUUACCAGAUUUUUCAUGACAAACGUAAUGCAGUAACAAAAGGCAUUUCACAGACAUAAGAAAAGUAAACAUUUUGUUACCAGAUUCAAAACCAAGUCUACUAAACCAGCAUAUACAAAAGGCAGUUUCAUACAAAGAUCAGACCAAAAGCAAAAGUUCCAUACUAGUCCUAAGUUCCAUAAUAGUCCUAAGCUUCAUAGUCACGUUUUAUCUUGGUCCUAAGCUCUAGAAACUUAGUCUUAGCUUCAUCUGUCUUCAUUGUUAUAAAAGCCCUUCUGCUCCCUUCACUGUCUAUAAGAUGUUCCAUUGCUGCUUCAUAUAAUGGAGACCACUCUCUCACUCCAGGCAAUGUGUACAGAAUCUCUAACACAUUCUCAACACUAGAAGCUUCUUGACGCUCCAUUGAAGCUUCUUGACGCUCCAACAUCCGUUCUGCUAUCUUGUUCUUCACCAUAAGCGCUUCAGUACGUUUGUCACAAGCUUCUACAACCAUAUCCUUCUCCUUACGCCUUCUUUUUCCUCUCGAACUUCCAGAAUGAGUCUGAGUUUGGCGAUGGGUUUGUGUCUGCAGCUGCGGCUGAGUUUCUGUCUCUGCUGCUGCUUGAGUUUCUGCUGCUGGCUGAGAAUCGACUUCAUCACCAUCAUCUAGACCCACUCCAGAGUUUAAGCUUGCUUCUCCAUGUUGAGCACUCCAUCCUUCUGCUCCAGUUACUACUACAGCACCAAAUUCUUCUUCAAACAUAUCCAUAUUAAAUUCUUCUUUCCAUACAGAUCUUCUAAUCCCAGGACACUCCUAUAUAACAAAAAAAAAUAAAGAGUAAGUUAAUGAGGAAUCAUGAAUCAUGAGAUCGAGAGUGCUGGAGAUGUGUCGGAUCGAGAGAGAGCUGGAGAUGCAUCAGAUCGAGUGAGAGCUUCGAGGUCUGCUCAAGCAAGUUGCGUCGAUGAGAGAACAGAGCUGCGUCUGCGGCUAUUAGGGUUAGGUUCUUUGGUAAAUAAUGAAUUAUGUUAAGGGCAGAAAUGUAAUUAAGUUGAGUAGACGCAGAAUUUGAGCCGAGAUCGCUGAUUUUAUCUGCGUUCAGACGCAGAGGUCGCGUUCGGCCGCAAACGCUGACGCAGGCUCCCGCGGCGACGAAACGAACACGCGUUCAUGGAAAAUAUAGCCGCAGCCGCAGCCGCAAGACUCGCGGCGAUGAAACGAACAGCACUAAUUAUGUUUUCAGCAUUUCUUACCUCGAAUUCACUGUCACUAGGUUGAAUUUUCGGACUGGAUUUUGCAGAAGAACAAUCGUAAAUUGCAGUUAGGGUUUAGAACUAUGCCCAAAUCAUUUGUCGGGGAAGAUAAAAGGGAGUGCUGUAAUAAUAUAUCUUUAGUGGGUUGACCUGAACUUUAUUUAAAAAAGUCGAAUUGCUAUUUAAUUCUACUCAUUUUAUCGACAAGGACAAGAUCAAAAAAAGGAGCGACGUGUCUUAGUUAAAACACGCAAGAUGAAAGGAUUUGUGACACGAAUCGGUGCUGGACCACCGUACCACCGCCGAGCAUCACCACAUAGCAUACAAAGAUAACAUUCUAAGCUUGUCUGCUUUUGAUGAGUAUUUACAUUUGUAAAGAGUUUGUAACAAUAAGAUUAUGAUGAUCUAACAGACUAACAUCCACAGCAGGUGGGCUUUUUCGAACUAAGAGCAUGAGCAUCAGUGAACUCCCCUUUGGGGUUCAUCUUCUUAAUUUUUUAUUAUUAAAUUUUUUAUUUUUUUCAUUUUGAACUUAAAAAAAAAAAAAAAAAAAAAUUGACCAAUCGCGGGCCGCCACGUGUCAUGGGGCCCGCGCUACAGUGAUGAACUUUAGGAGAGAGGGUAUCAUGCAGAAGAGGUGAGAAGAGGCGAGUUCAUCACUUUUGCUUUUUUUAAUAUAUUUUUUUUAUCGUAAAACGUGUGAACCUCCCUCUUGAACCUUUAAUGCUCUUGCUCUAAGGUACUAGAAAAAAUAGGAAACACACAAAAUGAAAUAGGUGUUGAAAAUUUUAAAUGAUUUUCUUUAAUGGAUUAGACUAUACUUCUAUAAGUAAAACAAAUCAAUGUUAUCGUAAAUUUUUAGUUUAGGGAUUUCUACUUAAACUAAAUUUAUUUGGGAAAUUUUAGCAUUAAAAUUCUUAAAAUUCAAUCAAAUAUGAUGUAAAAAAUUAUAAUUUAAAUUUUCAAAAAUUAGCAUUUCAAACAAAUUACGCAGAUAAAUAAAAUAUACUAUUUGAUUCAAAAUCUACACUACUAGUACUUAAAGUACAUUUUAGUUUUUUUUCUAAAUUGCAUGCUUUUUAUACAUUUAUAUAUGAUUCACAUAAUGUUGCAUUCAAGCUGGUCUGUCUUGGACUUCACGGUUCAAACCUCCGAGUUGUAUGCUCUAAUGUCUAAUCAUCAACAUCUUCAUUUCUUAAUAAUAAUCGUCUAUUCUGCGAGUUCUUUAAGUCGGCGUCUUUAGCUUUUGAUUAAGUUUGCACAUUUUCCCCAUUGUCAAGUACGAACGAUUAAACAAUUGGGAUCAUCUUGCUUCUUAAUAGUUAAAUCAUCAUCAUCAUCUAUAGCUUUUCCUUCAACUUCUUAAUUUUGUACCUUUUCUCGAUGAUCUCUUACAAAGUAUUGUCUUAUGAUAAGACACUCAAAGAUUGUAACUCAAGAUUAUACUCCACACAAACCAAAACAGCACAAGAGAUAGAUGUACAACUUGUGAUUUAUCAUAUCAUCUACAAGGUUUGGACAAACAUCAUUCUCUGGCAAGCUUAAGCAUACUUGAUACUUGUGCUCUCUUUUUUUUUUUCUUUUUUUUUUUGAACAACUCUUGUGCUCUCUCUAUUACAGCAUCUUGUAACAAGAAGAUUGUCUAUCAUACCGUUACAAAAGGUAGAUUUUUUUAACUAAGAAACACACUCCAAAUGAAUACUACACUUGAUCUCACUUGAAAUGCUUAAAGAAGCUUCACAUUCUCAACAUAGUUGAGAUAGGUGUUUAAUCUCCUACCCUGAAGCGCCUCCAUUCCUUGGAUUCCAACUUUUCUGAUCGUCUUGCUCUCCACAUUGUAGUAGAUAACAUAGGAAGGCACGUACUGGAACCAGGGGGCCAAAACGAUUUCAUUUACACCAACCAUUCCAGCAAUACACAUUCUGUCCACAAUAACAUCCUUCCACAGUGGUGGUAAUACGUAAACAUGCUUGGACCACUCAUGUUUUGCAGCAUCUCGAAGAACCCACAGCUUAAAACGUUUACACGUUCGAAAAACAUAACAAGUAUCUUCCGACGACAUAAGCAAACCUAAUCUGUCAUUGUAGUUCACCAGGGUUGUUGACUGAGGCAGUGCUCGUUUCAAUCGCGAGAGAUUCACAAAGCUGAACUUCUCAGUCCCCAAAUCAAAACAAACUACCAUAGAUUCCCGUGAAGAAGACCUAGGUUCUGCAGCUAUAUAGUACAAAACGCCACUGAUGCAUAUCCCCUUACGAGAAGAGUAAUGCGGUAUGCUACAUUCGACCACCCUCCACGACAGUUUCUUGGUUCCUAAUGUCAGAACAUGGUGCUCCGUACCAUCAAACACAGAUAAUACCUUGAACACUUUCGCAACGGGGUCGUAUCCAAGAUAGUUUUCCACUCUAUACCUCUCUUUUGAGUUCAAUCUUGGUAAGGUCAAGGACUGUCCUGUGCUGGGGUUACAUACCACCGUGACAAUCACUGCUUUGUUCUUGCCCUGGUUAGCUCCAUAACAGAAGAAGCCAUUGGUACAACCAAAUAAGCCAUAGGAAGUUGGGAAACGCGCGAGGUGAUUGGCGGCUACAACAUGCGAGUUGUCUUCCGGAUUUUCAGGCUGAGACGACGAGAGGAAGUGAAUCUCGUGGCGGUAAUCAGAGCAGGCGAAAAGAAGCUGAGGGUGAGCGCAAGAUUGGGUCAAGAAGGAGUCUGUGAAAUCUUGGCUGCGGAGCACGGAGGACCAGAGCUUGCAUACGCAACGACAUGUCGCUAUAGACUUCAACGGCAGCCUCAAGAAUAUCUCUGUAACGACCUCGACAGGAAGCGUCAGUGAGUUUCGAUCAAGUCUGGUCGUCGAUCGCGUAACGCGCUGAGAAAUGCUUAGACCACCCUUCUGCCGCUUCAUAGCGAGAUACUUUUAGAACUUCUCUUACUACCCUGAAACAAAAUACAGUUAGCCACAGAUUCUACCAGAUAAACGAUCAAUGUCGAUUUUACAAAUUGCAGAAGAACGAACAUGAGGCACAUUAAUGUUUUCAGCAUUUCUUACCUCGAAUUCACUGGGAGACACUAGGUAAGAACAAUCGUAAAUCGUAGUUAGGGUUUAGAACUAUCCCCAAAAUCAUUUGUCGGGAAUGAUAAAAGAGAGUGAAGUAAUUUUAUAUGGGCCUUUUGUGGGCUUACACAAUAUUUAAAAUGAUGGGUUUACGAUGGGUCUGACCUGAAUUUUAUUAUAAACGUUAAAAACUACAAUGGUCUGGACAAACCAGUAACAUCCGCUGGCCAAAUAAACCGAAUCAGAAAACCCGAACCGAACUCGAUCCGGUAAAAAUAAAUCCGAACCGAUCCGAAGCCGACAUACCGAAAAAAUUUUGUUUUAUAGUAUUUCGGGUUAUGGGUAUUAUUCGAACCGAACCUGAAUUUAAAUGGAAAUAUCCGAUAGAACCUGAAAAAUUCAAAAUAAAAAAAAAAGUUUGUAUCAAACAUUCUCAAUUCCUAAUAUGUAUCUGAAAUAAAAUAAAAUAAAAUAUUAUUGAACAUCUAAAAUAGUUAUUUAUUACAUGAAGAUUGAUGGUUGAAGGUGUCGGUUGAAACUUGAAGGUUUUUAGAUUUUGGUUUUGUUUUCGAUGAAUAAUGUUUCUUAUUUUAUAUAUUUAUCUUUCGUUUGAUUUUGAAUGAUCAUAUUGGAUGUUCCUUUCUUAUUUUUGAAUCGAUUUUGCUUAUGUUUUAGUUACAAAAUAGGUACAAAACGGGUAUUAUAAAACCAAAUAACCGAUUUUACUUAUGUUUUUGGUUACAAAUAGAUACAAAUCAUGUAUUUUUAAACCGAAGAACCGAUUGGGACCUGAAUCCAAAUUCUUUGAAAAUUAACUAACCCCAACCCGAACUUGAACCCGUCCCAAACCAAACUUUCAUAUAACCCGAAUGAGACUGAUUUAGAUAAAUCUAAAAAACUAAGACCCGAUUAGACAAAACCGAAAUCCCAUUGGAACCCAAAUGCCCAUGUCUAAUUUGUCUCAUCUCAUGGAUCUAGAAAAUCAUUCUCUCUCUCUAUCACAGCACUGAAAGAUGACAUUCAAAAGCUUCUCAGUUUUGGAUUAAUAUUUAACUAUUUACAGCAUUUGUAACAAGAAGAUUGUCUCUCAUCCCCUGGUUGAAUCUUCUACAAGAGGUUGAUUUUCAAACUAAGACGCUAGAAAAAAAAAUGAAAACUACGUUUGAAAUGCUUAAAGAAACUUCACAUUCUCAACAUAGUUGAGGUAGGUGUUUAGCCUCUUACCCUGAAACGCCUCCAUUCCUUGGAUUCCAACUUCUCUGAUCGUCUUGCUCUUGACAUUGUAGUAGAUGACACAGGAAGACACUCUUUGGAAACAGGGGGUCAAAACAAUUUCAUCUACACCAACCAUUCCAGCAAUAUCCAAUCUAUCCUCAACUACACCCUUCCAAACUGGUGGUAAUACGUAAACAUGCCUGGACCACUCAUGUUUUGCAACGUCUCGAAGAACCCACAGCUCAAAUCUUUUACAUGAUCGAGUAACAUAAUAAUCUUCCGACGACAUAAGAAAACCUAAUCUGCCAUUGUAGUUUGUCAGAGUUGUUGAAGGAUAUCUAUUGAAACGCCUCAAGAGGUUCACAAAGCUGAACUUCUCAGUCCUCAAAUCAAAACAAACUACCAUAGAUUCCACCGAAUAUCUGAUUUCUUUAGCUAUAUAGUACAAAACGCCACUGAUGCAGAUCCACUUACCAGAAGAAUAAUGUCGUAUGCAACAUUCGACCAACCUCCACGACAGUUUCUUGGUUCCUAAUGUCAGAACAUGAAACUCCUUACCAUCAUCACAUGCAGACAACACCUUGAACUGUUUUGCAAUGGGGUCAUAUCCAAGAUAGCUUUCCGCUUCAACCCUGAUCCUCGUUUUCAAUCUUGGUAAGGUCAAGGACUGUCCUGUGCUGGGGUUACAUAUCACCGUGACAAUCCAUCGAUUAUUCCACCCCUUCAAGAUCCGUUCAGCCCCAUAACAGAAGAAGCCAUUGGUACAACCAAACAGUUUAUAGUAACGUGGGGAACGUGCAAUAUGAUUGGUGGCUACGACAUACGAGUUGUCUUCAAGAUUUUCAGGCUGAGGCGACGAGAAGAAGUGUAUCUCGCUGCGACCUUCGCAUGCAAAGAGAAGCUGAGGACGACGAGCACAAGAUUUGGUCAAGAACAGCUCUGUGAAAUCUUGACUGCGGAUCACGGAGGACCAGAGCUUGCAUACGCAAUGGCAUCUCGCUAUGGACUUCGACGGCAACCUCGAGAGUAUCUCUGUAACAACCUCAACAGGAAGCGUCAAUGAGUUACGAUCAAGCGUGGUCGUUGAUCGCGUAACGCGGCGAGAAAUGCUUAGACCACCCUUCAUGAAGGAGUAUGUUCCCUUACGGACGCUCUUUGAGAAAAGACAUUAAAAUUACAUUACUAACCUGAAACACAAACAUUCUAGAACCAACCAAAACUCCAAACAAAUGUUCGAUUGCAUCCAGAAACUAAAUACAGUUCUAGAACAUAGCCAGAGAUGAUGUCACAUUUACCAGAUGAACGAUCGAGAUGAAACAACAAUCUACCAAAACAACAAUUAUGUUUUCAGCAUUUCUUACCUCGAAUUCACUGUCACUAGGUUGAAUUUUUGGACUGGAUUUUGCAGAAGAACAAUCGUAAAUUGCAGUUAUGGUUUAGAACUAUCCCCAAAUCAUUGGUCGGGGAAGAUAAAAGAGAGUGCUGUAAUAAUAUAUAUUUAGCGGGUUUAGAAUAUCAAUUUAUACAAUGGGUUUGACCUGAACUUUAUUUUAAAAAAAGUCGAAUUGCUAUUUAAUUCUACUCAUUUUAUCGACAAGGACAAGAUAAAAAAAAGGAGCGACGUGUCUUAGUCGAAUCGGUGCUGGACCACCGUACCACCGCCGAGCAUCACCACGUAGCAUUCAAAGAUAACAUAAGCUUGUCUGUUUUUUAUGAGUAUUUACAUUUGUAAAGAGUUUGUAACAAUAAGAUUAACAUCCACAACAGGUGGGCUUUUUCAAACUAAGGUACUAGAAAAAAUAGGAAACACACAAAAUGAAAUAGGUGUUGAAAAUUUUAAACUGAUCUUCUUUAAUGGAUUAGACUAUACUUCUAUAUGUAAAACAAAUCAAUCUUAGCUGUAAAUUUUUAGUUUAUGGAUUUCUAUAUAAACUAAACUUAAAUAGGAGAUUUUAGCAUUAAAAUUCUUAAAAUUCAAUCAAAUAUGAUGUAAAAAUUAUAAUUUAAAUUUUCAAAAAUUAGCAUUUCAAACAAAUUACGCAGAUAAAUAAACUAUAUUUGCUUCAAAAUCUACACUACUAGUACUUAAAAUACAUUUUAGUUUUCUUUCUUCUAAAUUGCAUGCUUAUUAUAAAUUUAUAUAUGAUUCACAUAAUGUUGCAUUCAAACUGGUCUGUCUUGGACUUCACGGUUCAAACCUCGGAGUUGUAUGCUCUAAUGAAUCACAACAUCUUCAUUUCUUAAUAAUAAUCGUCCAUUCUGCGAGUUCUUUGAGUCGGCCUCUUUAGCUUUUGAUUAAGUUUGCACAUUUUUCCAAUUGUCAAGUACGAACGAUUAAACAAUUGGGAUCAUCUUGCUUCUUAAUAGUUAAAUCAUCAUCAUCAUCUAUAGCUUUUCCUUCAGCUUCUUAAUUUUGUACCUUUUCUCGAUGAUCUCUUACAAGUAUUGUCUUAUGAUAAGACACUCAGAGAUUGUAACUCAAGAUUAUACUCCACACAAACCAAAACAGCACAAGAAAUAUAGAUGUACAACUUGUGAAUUAUCAUAUCACCUACAAGGGUCUGGACAAACAUCAUUCUCUGGCAAGCUUAAGAAAACUUGUGCUCUCUCUAUUACAUCAUUUUGUAACAAGAAGAUUGUCUAUCAUACCCUUGUUGAAUCUUCUACAAAAGGUAGAUUUUUUUAACUAAGAAACACACUCCAAAUGAAUACUACACUUGAUCUCACUUGAAAUGCUUAAAGAAGCUUCACAUUCUCAACAUAGUUGAGAUAGGUGUUUAAUCUCCUACCCUGAAGCGCCUCCAUUCCUUGGAUUCCAACUUUUCUGAUCGUCUUGCUCUCCACAUUGUAGUAGAUAACAUAGGAAGGCACGUACUGGAACCAGGGGGCCAAAACGAUUUCAUUUACACCAACCAUUCCAGCAAUACACAUUCUGUCCACAAUAACAUCCUUCCACAGUGGUGGUAAUACGUAAACAUACUUAGACCACUCAUGUUUUGCAGCAUCUCGAAGAACCCACAGCUUAAAACGUUUACACGUUCGAAAAACAUAACAAGUAUCUUCCGACGACAUAAGCAAACCUAAUCUGUCAUUGUAGUUUACAAGGGUUGUUGACUGAGGCAGUGCUCGUUUCAAUCGCGAGAGAUUCACAAAGCUGAACUUCUCAGUCCCCAAAUCAAAACAAACUACCAUAGAUUCCCGUGAAGAAGACCUAGGUUCUGCAGCUAUAUAGUACAAAACGCCACUGAUGCAUAUCCCCUUACGAGAAGAGUAAUGCGGUAUGCUACAUUCGACCACCCUCCACGACAGUUUCUUGGUUCCUAAUGUCAGAACAUGGUGCUCCGUACCAUCAAACACAGAUAAUACCUUGAACACUUUCGCAACGGGGUCGUAUCCAAGAUAGUUUUCCACUCUAUACCUCUCUUUUGAGUUCAAUCUUGGUAAGGUCAAGGACUGUCCUGUGCUGGGGUUACAUACCACCGUGACAAUCACUGCUUUGUUCUUGCCCUGGUUAGCUCCAUAACAGAAGAAGCCAUUGGUACAACCAAAUAAGCCAUAGGAAGUUGGGAAACGCGCGAGGUGAUUGGAGGCUACAACAUGCGAGUUGUCUUCCGGAUUUUCAGGCUGAGGCGACGAGAGAAAGUGUAUCUCGUGGCGGUAAUCAGAGCAUGCGAAAAGAAGCUGAGGGCGAGCGCAAGAUUUGGUCAAGAAGGAGUCUGUGAAGUCUUGGCUGCGGAGCACGGAGGACCAGAGCUUGCAUACGCAACGGCAUGUCGCUAUAGACUUCAACGGCAACCUCAAGAAUAUAUCUAUAACGACCUCAACAGGAAGCGUCAAUGAGUUUCUAUCAAGUCUUGUCGUCGAUCGCGUAACGCGCCUAGACAUGGCGGAGUGACGUUUCGGUCUGUGAAGAACAAAGAGAAAAGACAUUAAACUAAACUUCAAAUACAGUUCUAGAACAAAAGUUCGAUGCAACUAAUCUUGAAAUACAAUUUAGAACUUAGCCACAGAUUCUACAGAAAUGUCACAUUCUACCAGAUAAACGAUCAAUGUCGAUUUUACAAAUUGCAGAAGAACGAACAUGAGGCAAAUCUUUAUACACACAAAUGUUUUCAGCAGUUCUUACCUCGAAUUCACUGUCACAGCAGUAAGAACAAUCGAAAAUCGCAGUUAGGGUUUUGAACUAUCCCCAAAAUCAUCUGUCGGGGGAAGAUAAAAGAGAGUGCUGUAAUAAUAUAUGGGCCUUUUGUGGGUUUAGACUUUACUUAAAAUGAUGGUUUAACGAUGGGUCUGACCUGAAUUUUAUUUAAAACGUUGAUUUGCUUUUCUUUUUUUUUUCUUUUUUUUACCAAAAAUGUUGAUUUGCUAUUUAUACUAUUAUUUGAAAAGUGAAUUUGCUUACUUGUCAUCUUUCCUAUAAUUUUAGUGAAUUUGUUUAUUUGUCAUAUUUUUCAUGAUUUUAGGAUAAAUCAUUAGUUUAAUUAAUAUUAUUAUUUAAAAAAUUUAUGUUAAUCUAUAUAUUUAUCAUGAUAUUUUAAAUCAUCAAUAAACAUGAAAUUAUUCUACUGAUAUAUAAACUAUUUAAAAAUAUAUUUAAUAUAUAGUUAUAUGAUAUUUAAAAUAUUUAAUUAAAAAAAUAGAUAUUAACAGUUGAUAUUAACAAUAUCUACUGAUAAUAUCAUAAUUUUGUUUAUCUUAUAUUUAGUUUACGACUUAAUGACUAAUAUUAUAGUCUAUUUCUCUGAUUCUUAUUGGAAAUAUUGAUCCAAGUAUAAUUAUUAUAAAAAUUAUACAUAAGUAUACUAAUAUAUUUAAUUUAAUCGGUUUCUUCAGUUUAUUCAGUUGAAUCGGUUAAUAUAUUGAACCAUAACCAUAUAUUGUGGCUUCUUAAGAUGACAUCCAUCUGGUUUAUUCGGUACUACCAAAUCCAAAUUAUUUUCUCUAUUUUGGUUCGGUUUUAAGUGGUCGGUUUUACCAUAUUAAACAUCCCUAGGCUAUUGUUAUUUUGUUGACGUUUUAUGGGUUGUAGUUUUUUAUAAUCCUUUCAGUGCCACUGAAUUUCUUUUUGGUCCAAAUAAAAUAAGUGUUUAAUUUCAAAUCCAGAUUUCCUAAUUUGAUUAUUACUAUGGAAAAAGUUUUGAUCCAAAAUUCACAUCUUAUAUAUAAAAUAUGAAAUAAAAGAACAUAGUUUAAUAUAUUGAUUACCAAUAUGAAUGCUGAAAUAUAUUUAUAAUACUGAUUUAAAAUUGUAUCUGAUUUAAUAAGUUUUUUAAUAAAAAUGAACAUUAUAAUUAAAAAUUGUUAUAUGUAGUUUGCUAUCUAUUCUGGAAGGAGUUAUGACACGAUUCAGUGGUGGAUGACUUACAACAUUCCACCUUACCAGGUACCACCGCCGAGCAUCACUCACACAAGUAGGGCUGGGAGUUUGAGUCGGGGGUGUGCAGAUCGAUCGAAUUUGAGUCACGGAUGUCCUCUACCCCGCGAAAUUUUUUAAAAGUAUAUAUUUGUAAAAUAAAUAAAAAUCGUUAAAAAUAUAUGAAACAUUUUAAAAAUUAUAUAAUUUCAAUUGUACCUUUUCUUGAUUCUAUAUGAGGAAGUUUGACUUAUGAUAAGACAUUCGAAGAAUGUAACUCAAGAUUCUAUCGAUGUAAUCAAAGCGGCUCAAAAAAUUAGAUGUACAACUUGUGAUUUAUCAUAUCAUCUACAAGGGUGUGGACAAACAUCAUUUUUCUGGCUAGGUUAAGUGAGAUCUUAACCCAAAAUAUUAACAUUCUGUUGAUCUCUAUCAUAGCAUAUUCAAAUAUCACAUUCUAAACUUGUCUGUUUUGGAUGAGUAUUUACAUUUGUGAAGAGUUUGUAACAAGAAGAUUACAUAUAUCAUCCACAACAGGUGGGGCUUUUUCAAACUAAGAUGCUAGAAGAAAACGAACACACACAAAAUGAAAACUACACUCGUCUCUCACUUAUAAAAUGCUUAAAGAAGCUUCACAUUCUCAACAUAGUUAAGAUAGGUUUUGAAACUCGUACCCUGAAACGCUUCCAGUCCUUGGAUUCCAACUUUGGUGAUCGUCUUUCUCUCCACGUUGAAGUAGAUGACAUAGGAAGGCACUCUUUGGUAGCUCGGGGAGAAGACGAUUUCUUUUGUACCAACCAUUCCAGCAAUGUACAUGGUCUCUGAAACCACAUACGUAGACAUGAUUGGACCACUCGUGUUGUGCAGCGUCAAGCAGAACCCACAGCUUAAAACUUGUACUUGAUCGAGUAACAUAAUGAGAAUCUCCAGACAUAAGCAAACCUAACUUGCCGUUGUAGUUUACCAUUUUAGUUGUUGAAUCAGGCAUUGCUUUACCGAACUUGACAGAGCUGAACUCCUCAGACCUCAAGUCAAAACAAAGGACCAUAGAAUUCUCGGAAGAUCCAUCUGCACUUGCUGCGUAGUAGAGAACACCACUGAUGCAUAUCCACUUAGUAGAAGAACAAUGUGGUACGCAGCACUCGACCAACCUCCAUGACAAAUUCUUGGUUCCUAAUGUCAGAACUUGGUGCUCCACAGAGAUCCUCUCACCAUUACGCGAGCUGUUCAUCGACAAUAACUUGAAUUCUUUCUCCAUCGGCUCAUAUCCAAGAUAGCUUUGCACUCCAUACCUCUUUUUCGAGAUCAAUCUGGGCAUGGUCAAGGACUGUCCCGUGCUGGGGUUACAUAUCACCGGCAAUUUUAGCCUCUUAAAGAACCAGUCAGCUCCAUAACAGAAGAAGCCGUUGGUACAACC